RNAcentral lists this ribosomal RNA (311 nucleotides) under uncultured eukaryote. Its description in RNAcentral is "partial 18S ribosomal RNA". It matches the Rfam family "Eukaryotic small subunit ribosomal RNA", at positions 1470 to 1796 of the family's 1831-position model. The record is from RNAcentral.
CCCCUAGACGUUCUGGGCUGCACGCGCGCUACAAUAAUACGCACAGCGAGUAUCACCGAGCUCGAAAGGGCAAGGUAAACAAUGGAAAAGGUACUGUAAUGGUUAUAGAUCCUUGUAAUUAUUGAUCUUCAACGAGGAAUUCCUAGUAAGUAUGUGUCAUCAUCACGCACUGAUUACGUCCCUGCCCUUUGUACACACCGCCCGUCGCUCCUACCGAUUGGGUGAGCCGAUGAAACUCUCGGAUGUAGGCUAUUCAUAGCCCGCAGAAGAGAUUUGAAUCGUAGCGCUUAGAGGAAGGAGAAGUCGUAACA